This 207-nucleotide ribosomal RNA is filed under the name Triticum aestivum (bread wheat). RNAcentral's name for it is "partial small subunit ribosomal RNA". The record is from RNAcentral. Lineage: Eukaryota; Viridiplantae; Streptophyta; Magnoliopsida; Poales; Poaceae.
AUGUUUAAAGGCUACAUUGGUGUUUCUAGCUUGGAGAAGCAACAUCAACUUGGGAUACAGAUUCACCAGCAUAUGCACAUGCAUCUCAUAGGGGAAGAGCUCUUGCAUGGAUGUAAGACCAUUUUGCUUCAGCCAGUUAUAGAUUUUAGAGUGAUGAUUUGCUUAAAUUCGUUUCCAUUCAUAAAAUCAACAUCCAAUGAAAUAUGA